GUGUGUGCAUUCACAUCAAAGGCCACCAUGAAGACAGGCACAGCCUUUGUUCUAGUGGCUUUUGUCAUCUUGGGGAUGGAGAUGGCCUUCGCUCAGAGAGGUGGUCAUGGAGGGCACUGCCCCAGGGUGCCCAAAGGAACCUAUGGGAAUUGUGCUGUCCGCUGCAGAGGAGAUAACUCAUGUCCCAGGGGAAUGAAAUGCUGCAGCAAUGGAUGUGGCCGUGAAUGCAAACAUGCUAUCUAUUAUGAUGGUGUUGAUGACCCUGUGGAGGAAGAAUGGGGGAUGUAAGCGUGCCUGGAGACCAGCCGCAGAAGAUUGCUCAUGAAUGCAUGGAUCCAGUGCUUGGCAUAACAUUUUCCACACACCAUUCUUGGCAAGUGCCUAUCCCUUGACGUGCAGUCUCAGAAGAUGAAGAUCUAAAAUGGUGGAGUGGCUGAUUCUAAAGAGCUUGUAUCCAAAAUAAAUUUUAUCUGUGGCAUUA
Molecule: long non-coding RNA, 481 nt
Organism: Myotis lucifugus (little brown bat)
Lineage: Eukaryota; Metazoa; Chordata; Mammalia; Chiroptera; Vespertilionidae
Exons: 3
Source: RefSeq, a predicted model, not a curated record